CCUACGGGUGGCAGCAGUGGGGAAUAUUGGGCAAUGGGCGCAAGCCUGACCCAGCAACGCCGCGUGAAGGAAGAAGGCUUUCGGGUUGUAAACUUCUUUUGUCAGGGAAGAGUAGAAGACGGUACCUGACGAAUAAGCUACGGCUAACUACGUGCCAGCAGCCGCGGCAAUACGUAGGUGGCAAGCGUUGUCCGGAUUUACUGGGUGUAAAGGGCGUGUAGCCGGGUUGACAAGUCAGAUGUGAAAUCCUGCGGCUUAACCGCAGAACUGCAUGUGAAACUGUAGAUCUUGAGUACUGGAGAGGCAGGUGGAAUUACUAGUGUAGCGGUGAAAUGCGUAGAUAUUAGGAGGAACACCAGUGGCGAAGGCGGUCUGCUGGACAGCAACUGACGGUGAGGCGCGAAAGCGUGGGGAGCAAACAGGAUUAGAUACCCGUGUAGUC
RNAcentral lists this ribosomal RNA (442 nucleotides) under uncultured bacterium. Its description in RNAcentral is "partial 16S ribosomal RNA". It matches the Rfam family "Bacterial small subunit ribosomal RNA", at positions 338 to 795 of the family's 1533-position model. The record is from RNAcentral.